RNAcentral lists this unclassified non-coding RNA (388 nucleotides) under Hevea brasiliensis (rubber tree). Lineage: Eukaryota; Viridiplantae; Streptophyta; Magnoliopsida; Malpighiales; Euphorbiaceae. The record is from RNAcentral.
GAGUUGAGUUGAGUUGAGUAUUCUAUGGAAUAUUUUCUUCACAAUCUCAAGUUUUGAAUGUGUAAAAAUUUUUGUAUAGAACAGAUAUUUUCCAAGUUUUUGGAAUACAAAUUUCAUACAUAAGAAAAGCUAUCCAAGGGCAUGGAAUUGUAAUUCUAUUCUCUAAACCGAAUAAGUAAAUCUUAAGCUAAAUAUAAAUUUCAUUUCCCUCAAAGGCUUUCCUUUUAUCUCUUCAGUCUAGAUGGCCAAAAAAAAUGGUUUCUGGUGAUGGGGAAUACAUGUGAUAUACAUGAAGCAUAUAUGUCAUAGCUUGGCAAUGUGUAAUUGUUUUUAAUAAAAAGUAUUUUGUACUUCAGCAACGGAAGCCCAUUGAUUUCUGGAAAUCUUC